RNAcentral lists this unclassified non-coding RNA (433 nucleotides) under Zea mays. RNAcentral describes it as "misc RNA Zm00001eb254400". The record is from RNAcentral. Lineage: Eukaryota; Viridiplantae; Streptophyta; Magnoliopsida; Poales; Poaceae.
UGCAUCGUGUGUUUGAUCGUCUGUUAUUUCUUUAUUAUCUAUACAUGUAGCCAUGAUUCAAAGCAUAAAUAAGGUUUGUGCAUACCGAAUCAGUUUUCGCGUGCGAAACAAUGAAACAACUUCUACGUUCUGCAGAUGAGGUAGUAGCUCAGAUCCGUCCCGCCUGCCGCGCGGUGAGCCCAUGGGUCUUCAUGCUCACCUUUCGUCGAGCACCUCGGUUACAUCAGAAUCGCCAACCAUGUCCUCAGAUGGUGCGCUCCCACGAGCGCGCGGAGGACGCAGCCCAGGCGGCGGCGGUUGAGCCAGCGGGUGAGGGCCUCUGCUGCUGCCGUCCUCGCGACGGAGGAGUCCGUCGUUGCCUUGACCAGUUUGGGCCGCCCAUCGGCCAUCACCGCCGCAGCAGGAUCCGCGUCGUCGACUCGAGACGAGUAGA